GCAGCUCUCUUCCCCACCCUUUGGGGCACUAGAGGCCAUUGUACCGCCAGGACUUGGAGGCUGGCUCUGGGCAAUCUGCUCGAGCCUCGUGUCCUCUUGGUUUUAGGUCUUUGGAAAAUUCUUCUCCGUCGGACAGAGAAGAUCCUUCCUACAGACAGCAGUGCUGGCCAUCCAUGACCCCCUGCUACGUGUUAGCCAGGCUGGACUGGUGCUCGUCUACUCCCUCCUGGGGGAAGCCCAGCAACUGAUGGGGAGACGCACGAGGAUGUCACAGCCAAGGUCAUGUGCGAGCUUCACAUCAUCCGGCACUUGCACCAGAUGCCCGAGGCGUUGCAAGGGCUGUGGCUCAUCUGAUGCUCUUAAAGAUUCCCCUCCCUGUUCAGCAAGUCCCGCUCCCUGCUGCAGGUACUGCUCUGUCUCACUGUAAAUGGGGGGCUAGUGAAAGCAGAAAUGGAGGCCCCUGGCACUCACAGAAACUCUCUCCCCUCUCUGUGGAGCUGGGUCCUUCCCUCGGCCACCCAAAUUCCUUCAUGUGGGGCAGGAGCUCUUUCCCUCACACCCAUAUCCCUCCCCUCUUUCCUUGAUCUCACCCCCAUCCCAUUCCCCGUGCUCCCAGGCAGAGAUCUUCCUGCCCCAUAUGGCGCAGAAGGACCUUUGGGUCAGGGCUACAGACUGUCUGCCCAACUGAAGCUCAGGAAGCUCCACAUUUGAGGAGGUGAGGAUGGGACAGAGGCUCAGGGCUUGCUUCAUCUCCUGCCCUUUAUUCUUCUUUUGGCCCUUCUCUGGGCUCUCCGAGUCUGACAUGAAGAGGAGCCUCCUCCCCCUGUGUGUUCUAGGCCCUGGGGUGUGUGACAGCCUCCCAGAUGGGUGCAGUCAGAAGCUGAACCACCUCAGGGAGCAGUGGGGACAGGUCCCUUGUCCUAGGACACAAAGCAGUGAUAGUUCUCAAAGAGGUUGAGAGGGAAGACCCCGCUCCCUCAUGGAGGUAAGAGCCAUUGACUUCUUUGGGCAUAUGGGUUUCUCACUGUCCCUAAGGAAGGGGACAGAGAAGACCCUAGAAACCCAAGAAGGGCAGGCCGAACCAAAAUCAGGCUGAGGAAGAACUCCCCACGAGGGUGGAAGGCCUUGUUUCUGUUCAAGACAUUUUUGGACUUUGUUUGCAAGGAGCACGACCCAGGAAGGAGUGGAGUAAAGGCCAGUCACCUGGUUGGAGGGCUGAGUUCCCAGCCAAGAAACUGCAAGAGUGAGUAUUAGCGGGGUUGCUAGCCCAGCUAGAAAGCGGUGACACGAGGCCUGGCCAGCAUCUCGCGGUGAGUGAACUCUGGUACACACCCAAACUGGCUGUGUCUGGAGCCCUGUGUAGCCUCUUCUGUGGGGGUCAGUGGGGCCUGAAUCUCUCCUGCUCCUUUGGUCUCUUUGGGCUUCACAUGAGAUGUCUGGUGAACUGCCCUUGGACUCUGGGCCCAGCACCGCUCAGAAAUUAUUCGCUACCUUCAGAGAGACAGGGCACAGCUCAGCCUGUUGGGAAGGCUGGAGACUCACACUUCACUCAAACACACAACACUGAGAUGGUUUGGGAAGCCAAGCAAAAGAAAGAGACAAAUUUCAACCAGAGAAACAUAACACGACACACUUUGUAGUGACUAAAACUGAAACUUAACAAGUCACAUUCUUUGCCUUAGCAGUUUCCAGACUAACAUCUCAGCUUUCCUAACAGACCUUCUUUGAAGUGCCUGUAGGGUACAAAACGUCUCUGUCGAAUCCGCUGAUUUGAUUGCUUCGCCUUCUGGUUUCAGACCCUCUGUUCUCCUUCUGGGCUGCCUGGACCCUGACUGUAACAUCUCUCUGGCCCAGCCUCUUACACAGAUGUGUGCUGCAGCCAGCCCAGCGCAGGGAGCAGUGGGGACAGAUGAUCUCCUCCUGUCAGACCAAGCAACAUGGGUCCCAUUGAGGCUUAGAUGGAAGAUCCCAGGCAUCUCCUGGAGAGGAUGCACCCGGGACCCUGGAGACUGUUUCAUGCAGGAGGUUUGAGUGGGGAGAGAUCACUCACUGUCAUGACCCAUGGGUCAUUAACCCGGGUCUGCAGGGUUCCUGGGAGCAGCCACCCUCCAGCACGCCACCUGGAAGCCUACGAAAAACUGCUUAGCUAGGACUGACGAAGUCCAGACCCAGUUUGAGGCUCCUAUUGGCAGAGUCCCAGAGCAGCUAAUCUGCCCCCAGGACCUCCUAAAACCAGCAGCAGGAAGAAGAAGCUGUCUGAACAGCCAAGCUCCUCCCUGGCUCUGGAACGUGUGUUGGCUGUUCCUGCUCCCACUCCCCAGGCUUGAUUUCCUGGCAUCAGGACUUGGGGUGACUCAUCUGACUUGAGGUUCUGAACACAAUUUGGUCUUUUGCUUCUGCUCUUCCAGUGUCCUGACCCAGCUGACUCUCGACUCCUGUCUUGUGAGUGUGGCCUCUGCCUCUGACCACUAGGUCUGGCUGCCCAUGACCCGGCCAUGACACUGACUUUUCUACAAUUCCUCCAAUGCCCUUUUCUGCUCUCCAGCUCUGCUCUCCCAGCAAGACACAACGAUCCCUUGGCUCCCAGAGUCCUGCUUGCCUGCUAGUCAAGGGCUCAUGGGGAGUGCUUGUCUUGCCCCCUCCCCCACCACAGCUGCUUUUCCUCUGGGACUCUCCCUAACGCAGAGGAGAAUCCGUCCUGGCAGUAAUUCAGGAAAUCACAGAAGGGACGAUCUGCUCAGCUCCCUCUGCAAUGCCACUGCCCGAGACCAUUACGAGUGGGUGCCCAGUGACUGCACCGGCAGCUCUUUGAGAGACUCCUGAGGGCAGGGUAGUCGUGUUUCACGGUGACCGCGGGAAGCCAUGCAAAGAGUGCGGCAUUGAGGAGACUCUCCUGCUGUCCCAAAGGGUUUCUGUUCUCCUGCACGGUCAGACCAUGGGGCCAGGUUGCAGAAUGGGGAAGAGCUGUUUGGUGAUGAGUUGGAGGAUUCACCAUACAGGUGGCAGCAGCUGCAGAUCCUGGAGUCCCUGUGGUAGGGUUACCAUGCGUCCGGAUUUUCCCGGACAUGUCCGCCUUUUUGGGUUUUAAAUUGGCCUCCGGGAGGAAUUUGUAAAAGUCUCAAAAGGUCCAGGAUUUCCCUCCCAAUGCAGCACUCUGGGGGCA
This is a non-coding RNA of Caretta caretta (loggerhead turtle), 3163 nucleotides long. NCBI's taxonomy places the organism in Eukaryota, Metazoa, Chordata, Testudines, Cheloniidae. The record is from RefSeq and is a predicted model, not a curated record.